UCCCUGGCAGUCCAGUGGUUAGGACUCAGCGCUCUCACUUCUGGGGUCCCAGGUUCAAUUCCCGGUCAGGGAA
Molecule: transfer RNA, 73 nt
Organism: Ovis aries (sheep)
Lineage: Eukaryota; Metazoa; Chordata; Mammalia; Artiodactyla; Bovidae
Rfam family: tRNA
About the family: Transfer RNA (tRNA) molecules are approximately 80 nucleotides in length.
Source: Rfam